This 301-nucleotide ribosomal RNA is filed under the name uncultured bacterium. RNAcentral's name for it is "partial 16S ribosomal RNA". It matches the Rfam family "Bacterial small subunit ribosomal RNA", at positions 509 to 809 of the family's 1533-position model. The record is from RNAcentral.
CAGUCGCCGCGGGAAUACGAAGGGUGCAAGCGUUACUCGGAAUUACUGGGCGUAAAGCGUGCGUAGGUGGUGGUUUAAGUCCGUUGUGAAAGCCCUGGGCUCAACCUGGGAAUUGCAGUGGAUACUGGGUCACUAGAGUGUGGUAGAGGAUAGUGGAAUUUCCGGUGUAGCAGUGAAAUGCGUAGAGAUCGGAAGGAACAUCUGUGGCGAAGGCGACUAUCUGGGCCAACACUGACACUGAGGCACGAAAGCGUGGGGAGCAAACAGGAUUAGAGACCCCUGUAGUCCCUGUCUCUUAUAA